RNAcentral lists this ribosomal RNA (303 nucleotides) under Desulforamulus aquiferis. RNAcentral describes it as "partial 23S ribosomal RNA". It matches the Rfam family "Bacterial large subunit ribosomal RNA", at positions 2009 to 2310 of the family's 2925-position model. Lineage: Bacteria; Bacillati; Bacillota; Clostridia; Eubacteriales; Peptococcaceae. The record is from RNAcentral.
UUGGGCACUGUCUCAACGAGGGGCUCGGUGAAAUUGUAAUGACGGUGAAGAUGCCGUCUACCUGCGACAGGACAGAAAGACCCCGUGGAGCUUUACUGUAGCUUGACAUUGGGUUUUGGUAUUUGAUGUACAGGAUAGGUGGGAGACAUGGAAGUAGGUACGCCAGUACUUAUGGAGUCACCGUUGGGAUACCACCCUUUAAGUAUUGAAAUUCUAACUUUAGUCCAUGAAGCUGGAUUGAGGACAGUGUCAGGUGGGCAGUUUGACUGGGGCGGUCGCCUCCCAAAAGGUAACGGAGGCGCC